GCAUCUGUUUUGUAUUUCUUGGGGGCAUUUGUAUCGUAUUGCUUGGGGGCGUUUGUGACAAAUCCAACAAGACUCCACGCACAAGGAAUCAAGAAAAGGCCAUCAAUGCUGGUGUGCGAUGGCUCGAUUGUCCUUUUGCAAUCUCUGUCCUACAAUUUCUGUCGAUUGAGCCUUCAGGAGCUGCUCUGCAGAUAUUAUGAUAGGACAGGAAGACUCCACCAAUUCUGCAUCGCUGCUUGAGCCAUGUGAUGAAAAACGGAUAAGACCUUUGUCAAAAACAGUGACCUGGGACGCCACGGUACAGGUCCUGUGUAUGACAAACUUUCACGGAUGUUCAAAAGUAGCUGCAUGUAAACCCACAAACUGGCACAAAAGGACUAAAGGUGCAUUAGUCCAUCCUGGAUAUGACAAGGUAUCACAAGGAAUUAUGGAGAAAAGCCAGUGGGACCUGAAAAUGAUCCACUUUCAAUGGAGACAACUCACUAGACUCGACGACUUUGUCUACACCUACAAGACGACAGUGACAAUGACCCUUCGAAGAGACUACAGUGACUCUCUGAAGGGGAAGGAAAAGAAGAAGAACCCAACUGAGGAUGAUAAGGACGCACAGGUAGGCAUCAUUGAAAUCACAGUUGAUGCUACAUCACAGUACAUCAGUGCUGCACAAAGUACCGUUUAUUUGGUUGACCCAAUUCCCACAUCGGCAGAGCUCGCAGACUCCAAACAUGCAGCCCAAAAAAU
This is a long non-coding RNA of Gasterosteus aculeatus aculeatus (three-spined stickleback), 741 nucleotides long. NCBI's taxonomy places the organism in Eukaryota, Metazoa, Chordata, Actinopteri, Perciformes, Gasterosteidae. The record is from Ensembl.